Molecule: non-coding RNA, 1167 nt
Organism: Cricetulus griseus (Chinese hamster)
Lineage: Eukaryota; Metazoa; Chordata; Mammalia; Rodentia; Cricetidae
Source: RefSeq, a predicted model, not a curated record
UGUACAGACUGCUACCAUGCCGGCUGGCUAGGUCACUCUCCACAACGAUCAAAAUUGAGAAGGAGACAGCUAAACACUGAACUGAACUCCUGGUACCCAGUUGCAGAGAGUGAGGUGUGAUGAGCAAAGGGGAUACAACCUGGAUAUUGAAACCACAGAAACAGAUGACCAGAAAAAGGGGGAGCUCAUGGACCCCAAACUGAUGGCUGAGAGUCCAGCAUGGGACUGAUACAGAACCCCAUGAAUGUGAAUGUCAGUAAGGAAGCCUCAGCAAUCGAUGGGACCUCAGGUAAUGAUACAAGACUUCAAAACUGAGACAGGGACACGGUAUCUUAAACUAGAAGCAGUGUCAUCAGAAGCAGAUUGCUAUUUCCUGCACAGGAUUCAGCAUCAGUGACUGGAAGCUGCCCUGAAGCAAAAAAUCCCUGCCUUUGCUGUUUCCCACAGGCCCUGACUCUUACAGAUGUCAGGAGCAGUCUUCCUUGUCUGUGUAGAGUAAAGUCGGUUCUGAUCCUACCCAGAAUCUACUGAAUCCUGAAGUAUGGCCAGAGCCUGACUGCUAAGAAGCAUCACUUUUGUUGCUUUUGUUAGCACACCUUGCCUCUGAUUGAAGAACUGUGUGCAUUCAAAUGGAACAUGGAAUGGGAAUGAAUAUGUAAAGUGAUCUCAACUCCAGCACUGGAGGCAGAUACUGUGGUUCCCCAGGAGACUGCAUCAGAGCUUCUGAUUCCUUUGUCUCUCCCACCUUAAAGUGUGCUGCAGGAGAAGCAGUGAAAGUGAAAGUAGAUGAAAGAUAAAAAGUGAAAUAUACCAUGGUUUCUGACACCAAUUUUCAAAAGGAAAGAAAGAAACCUGUGGCAAGAAACAGUUGAUCAUAUAUCUGUCUGCUUCACCAAGCAUUUUUGAUAACUCUAUGAAAGCUACAUUUCUCCCUGGAGAUAGUGGAUUGUGUCUCAAGCUGGACAAUAGCUUCUUGUUUCUGACACUUUUUAAUAUGCCAUGUCAGAUUGCCCAAAUGCAAUUUAAAAUUCUUGAAUUUUAGUUUUCUCCUUUAUAUGUAUAUGUAUAUGUAUAUGUGUGCCUGAAAUAACAUGUUUCUAUUUAAGUUGAAAUAUUAGUUUUAAGAAGUACUUUGAAAUUCCUGUAUUUGAUUACUAUAUCUUAACA